GACAGAGGGUGCAAACGUUGUUCGGAAUUACUAGGCGUAAAGCGCAGGUAGGCGGUUGGAUAAGUUUCUUGUGAAAGCUCCCGGCUUAACUGGGAGAGGCCAAGGAAUACUAUCUGACUUGAGUAUGGUAGGGGUAACUGGAAUUCCCGGUGUAGCGGUGAAAUGCGUAGAUAUCAGGAAGAACACCCGUGGCGAAGGCGGCUCUCUGGGACGGUACUGACGCUGAGACGCGAAAGCGUGGGGAGCGAACAGG
RNAcentral lists this ribosomal RNA (253 nucleotides) under uncultured bacterium. RNAcentral describes it as "partial 16S ribosomal RNA". It matches the Rfam family "Bacterial small subunit ribosomal RNA", at positions 524 to 776 of the family's 1533-position model. The record is from RNAcentral.